RNAcentral lists this long non-coding RNA (993 nucleotides) under Anas platyrhynchos platyrhynchos (common mallard). RNAcentral describes it as "lncRNA (ENSAPLG00000027381.1)". The record is from RNAcentral. Lineage: Eukaryota; Metazoa; Chordata; Aves; Anseriformes; Anatidae.
AGGAUUUUUAAACUAGCCAACUUUGAAGAUCCCAAGAUAUUGCUUCAUUUCUUAUUACUAUGCUAUCUCUUGGUAUAGUGUUUUUGCAGCUUAACUUUCACUGUUGCAACUUGGAACUGGUGUACUUGAUCUUAUUUCAUCUCUGAGUCAUGACAUUUUUGCCAUUUGUGUGAUUAGCUACCUUUGUCAUCAUCUGCUGCACUGGAGCACCAACUUUUAUAUUUCAAAGGAGCAAAUAAGUGAAAAUACACAAAUGUUGUUGCUUGUAGAAAUUGAGCUUUGCUCUGUGUAGUUUCUGAAGCCCUCCAGCUCUGCAAAUUGUUGGGUUUAGAGAGCACUGCAGACCUCAGGCUUGUGCUGAUGUUUGAUCUGGAUUACAAGAAAAUCUGCUGAGUUUUGUCAGGGUACAACACAGGAAAAGUGUCAGGAAAUGGCAGCCAAUGCUGUGAAUAACACAGGCAUUUGAUGAAAAACUAGCUAAACAAAAGAAAAAUGACUGUAGAUGGUCCUAGAAAGCACUAUGGCAUUAUAUUCAAUACAUGCUUUUAGGUGUUCUAAUUGUAUCUGAUAAAUAUAUCUGAAAUUAAGUCUCUAAUUGGAAAAAAUAACAACAGUGUGACCCUGAAUUAAUUAGAGUUAUGGAUUUCCCUAGUUUCAGUCUUACCUGUAGGUAUAUUAACUAAGAUCUUGACACUUUUACAUUUGCAAGUUCUUUCCAUGAGAUUACACAGAGUUCCAAAAAGGAAAAAAGUAAAACUGAAGAAGGUAUUGAUCAGUGGUCUUCAGCAUGGUUUUCAGAGCACCUUUCUCUUCCAACUGAACUAUUCUGUUCUGUUCAUAUCCACAGGAGAACUGCUUCAGUACUGGAGACAGGAGUUUGGAGCGCUCCCUUGUACAAGUAUGUACCACCCUGCCAAGGACAGAUUAUCACCCACUCAGAAAUGCCAGAAGUCAAGUGCAGCACCUCUUCUCAAGUCUAUUGCCUCGGGAUAG